AUAUUGGUCAAUGGAGGCAACUCUGAACCAGCCAUGCCGCGUGCAGGAAGACAGCCCUAUGGGUCGUAAACUGCUUUUAUUGGGGAAUAACCUUCCGAUCGUGAUCGGAACUGAAUGUACCCAAGGAAUAAGGAUCGGCUAACUCCGUGCCAGCAGCCGCGGUAAUACGGAGGAUCCAAGCGUUAUCCGGAUUUAUUGGGUUUAAAGGGUGCGUAGGCGGCCUAUUAAGUCAGGGGUGAAAGACGGUGGCUCAACCAUCGCAGUGCCUUUGAUACUGAUGGGCUUGAUUGCAGCUGAGGUAGGCGGAAUGUGACAAGUAGCGGUGAAAUGCAUAGAUAUGUCACAGAACACCGAUUGCGAAGGCAGCUUACUAAAGUGUAAAUGACGCUGAGGCACGAAAGCGUGGGGAUCAAACAGG
RNAcentral lists this ribosomal RNA (418 nucleotides) under uncultured bacterium. Its description in RNAcentral is "bacterial SSU rRNA". It matches the Rfam family "Bacterial small subunit ribosomal RNA", at positions 361 to 776 of the family's 1533-position model. The record is from RNAcentral.